CUAAACUGAGGAAAGUCGGCCGAAACUGAUCGACUCGAGGAACGUAGAGGGAAGCGGAACUCUCGGAGUAGCGGUGAAAUGCGUAGAGACCGAGAGGUACCCCGAUGGUGAAGACAGCUUCCUGGGCGUUUCCUGACGCUGAAGCACUAAGGCCAGGGGAGCGAAGGGGAUUAGAUACCCCCGUAGUCCUGGCUUCAAACGAUGUGGGCUUGGUGUCGGCCCCCGACAGAGGGUCAUUGCCGGAGCUAACGUGUUAAGCCCACCGCCUGGGGAUUACGUCCGCAAGGAUGAAACUCAAGGAAAUUGACGGGGGCCCACACAACCGGUGGAGCACGUGGUUUAAUUCGAUGAUAAGCGAAGAACCUUACCAGGGCUUGACCUAGCGGUGGUAGGAUCCUGAAAGGGAAACGACCUCAAGCUUUGCUUGAGGAGCC
This 434-nucleotide ribosomal RNA is filed under the name uncultured bacterium. Its description in RNAcentral is "bacterial SSU rRNA". It matches the Rfam family "Bacterial small subunit ribosomal RNA", at positions 608 to 1042 of the family's 1533-position model. The record is from RNAcentral.